This 405-nucleotide ribosomal RNA is filed under the name uncultured bacterium. Its description in RNAcentral is "bacterial SSU rRNA". It matches the Rfam family "Bacterial small subunit ribosomal RNA", at positions 355 to 776 of the family's 1533-position model. The record is from RNAcentral.
UGGGGAAUAUUGCGCAAUGGGGGCAACCCUGACGCAGCAACGCCGCGUGAUUGAAGAAGGCCUUCGGGUUGUAAAGAUCUUUAAUCGGGGACGAAUUUUGACGGUACCCGAAGAAUAAGCUCCGGCUAACUACGUGCCAGCAGCCGCGGUAAUACGUAGGGAGCAAGCGUUAUCCGGAUUUACUGGGUGUAAAGGGCGUGUAGGCGGGCAUGCAAGCCAGAAGUGAAAUCUGGGGGCUUAACCCCCAAACUGCUUUUGGAACUGCGUGUCUUGAGUGAUGGAGAGGCAGGCGGAAUUCCCAGUGUAGCGGUGAAAUGCGUAGAUAUUGGGAGGAACACCAGUGGCGAAGGCGGCCUGCUGGACAUUAACUGACGCUGAGGCGCGAAAGCGUGGGGAGCAAACAGG